CCUACGGGUGGCAGCAGUGGGGAAUAUUGGACAAUGGGGGGAACCCUGAUCCAGCCAUGCCGCGUGUGUGAAGAAGGCCCUCGGGUUGUAAAGCACUUUCAGUGAGGAAGAACGCCUGGUGGUUAAUACCCAUCAGGAAAGACAUCACUCACACAAGAAGCACCGGCUAACUCCGUGCCAGCAGCCGCGGUAAUACGGAGGGUGCGAGCGUUAAUCGGAAUUACUGGGCGUAAAGCGCGCGUAGGUGGCUUGAUAAGCCGGUUGUGAAAGCCCCGGGCUCAACCUGGGAACGGCAUCCGGAACUGUCAAGCUAGAGUGCAGGAGAGGAAGGUAGAAUUCCCGGUGUAGCGGUGAAAUGCGUAGAGAUCGGGAGGAAUACCAGUGGCGAAGGCGGCCUUCUGGACUGACACUGACACUGAGGUGCGAAAGCGUGGGUAGCAAACAGGAUUAGAUACCCUAGUAGUC
RNAcentral lists this ribosomal RNA (465 nucleotides) under Vreelandella stevensii. RNAcentral's name for it is "partial 16S ribosomal RNA". It matches the Rfam family "Bacterial small subunit ribosomal RNA", at positions 338 to 795 of the family's 1533-position model. Lineage: Bacteria; Pseudomonadati; Pseudomonadota; Gammaproteobacteria; Oceanospirillales; Halomonadaceae. The record is from RNAcentral.